AGGGUCGGAUAUAAAAUAAAAACCAAAGGCUUCAACAAGCCGUCAUCGUCAAGCUGUGUAGCUUGAUUAGAAUUUGAGCAUGUUUUCUGUGUAAAUGUGCAAGCAUUGAAUUUUGCUUUGCUUUAAAAAAUGACAGAGAAUCUAAGCUUAACUUUUUGUGAAAAUUGCAUUUACGUGCCAUUUUCCAUUUAUCUUAGCGACCUC
This 204-nucleotide unclassified non-coding RNA is filed under the name Orchesella flavescens. RNAcentral's name for it is "sequence contains 5.8S rRNA gene and ITS2". The record is from RNAcentral. Lineage: Eukaryota; Metazoa; Arthropoda; Collembola; Entomobryomorpha; Orchesellidae.